AUGGAGGCAUAUUCCACACCUAAGCCACCUUUACAAGGGACAAAAUUUGACACCCUAGAGAGCGCACGUGACCACUACAGCACCUACGCGCAUAGGACUGGCUUUGCAAUUAGGCAACAAUUCAAGAAAGAGAGGGUUGAUGGAACUAUAAGCAGGGUGCUACUAGUUUGUACAAAAUAUGGCAAACGACGCAAGGACAGGGAUGAGCUGCAAGAUGUGGAAAACCCAGCCAGCAUUGUCAAGAAGAGGAAAAAAAGAGUUUUUAGGACUGAAUGUGAAGCGCACAUGUACCUAUCCCACGAUGAUGCAUGGUGGAAUGUUGACCGUUUCGAGGACACCCACAAUCACCCCAUCAAAAAGCCGUCCCUAACAAAAUUCUUAUCAUCACAUCAGUACAUUCCGAAGGAGGAGCAGGACUUCUUGAGGGUUCUGCACGGAUACAACAUUGAGACUGUGAGGCAGAUGCAGCUGAUGUCAUGGUUCUACGGGAGCGCUAAAGAUGUACCCUACACGACACAAGACAUUGCUAAUCAACGAGCUAAGUUCCGCUUAGAGCACCGCCACAAGGACGUUGGGAGCACAAUUGCAUACUUCCAAGAGAUGAGGGCCAAAGAUUCAUAUUUCUACUGGAGAAUCAAACUUGAUGAUGAGUACAGGGAAUAUGGCCAGAUCGACAAUGAACAUUUUCAAUGGCUGUGGGAAAAUAGGAAAUGUUGGGCCCCAGUGUACUACAUGAAGCAUUUCUUUCCAUUCUUGCAGACAACUGCAAGGAGCGAGGGAUUGAAUGCUGUGCUCAAGAAGUACGUGAACCCCAACAACUCAUUGAUUGAAUUCACAACUCAAUACACUGCAAGCCAGGAGAAAGUAAUGGUGGAUGUGGCGAAAGAGCAAGUGGACACAAUUUACAAAGAGGCAGACAUGUAUUCGUUGAACCCAAUCGAGUUACAGAUGCGAGGGAUAUACACACAAAAUAUGUUCUCCAAGUUCCAGAUAGAGAUGAAGCUAAAGACUGCUUACGAUGCGACACUUUGCGAUGGAACCUUCAGGAUGUGGUCGCUCCGAGGCAUACUACCAAAGUAUGGGGAUAGGGACUACCAUGUGCAGGCGAACAAGGAUGAAGGGGUAUACUCAUGCACUUGCUGCAAGUUUGAUCGCGAUGGGCUAUUGUGUGCACACAUACUACGAGUAAUGGAACAUAUUGGAGUCUACGAGAUACCGAGGAGGUAUAUCCUGGAUAGGUGGACAUGGGAUCCAGAAGAGGAUCUUGUUCAGCCUGAUUACCAACAGCCAACAAUUAAGAAGGGUAUGACAGAAGAAGGAAAAAAUAUGACAUAUACAUCUAUUCUGAAUGAUUUCAAGGAACAAGCAAAAGACGCUUGCACUACUGAUGAAGGGAUGGCAUUGGCAAGGAAACAUGUUAAUGCUUUCAGAGACGAAAUGGAUGCACUAAAAAAGAGGCAACUAAAGAAAGCAAGAAAGGAAAAAGAUGAGGGAAAAGAAGCACAAAUGUUUUCUUCACCACCAGGGACUAGUGCCACCGAAGGUGUCCCAGUAGCGCAUCAAGGAAGCAUUCCUGUCACGCAUGUGUCUGGCGAUAUUUUCCAGUUCCAGGGCUCACAUGCCGAGGGAUCCCAAUCAUCAAACACAAGAGUGAUACUAGACCCACCAAAGUCUACUACGAAAGGGCGUCCGAGAGAGAAAAGAUUCCAGCACCCAUUUGACAUUGCAAAGCCAAAAAAAAGAGAGGAAGUGUAG
RNAcentral lists this ribosomal RNA (1755 nucleotides) under Triticum aestivum (bread wheat). RNAcentral describes it as "partial small subunit ribosomal RNA". The record is from RNAcentral. Lineage: Eukaryota; Viridiplantae; Streptophyta; Magnoliopsida; Poales; Poaceae.